UAUGCCCCAGAGACUGCUAGUGAAAGGGUAGAGCCUCUGUCAUCUCCAAACCUCCUCCCACUGUCAACUCACGCACACACGCACAUACGCACACGCACACACACACACACACACACACACACACACACACACACACACACACACACACACACACACACACACACACACACACACACACACACACACACACACACACACACCAUUGACUUUCACUCAUCCUAACCCAACACUUCAGCUGAUUACUUGUUUUCCCAGACCUGAACAACACCCACAAACAUCCUCGCUGCUGGACGCAGUAAAGAAAAGAACAGCUAGCGUGUUUGACGGACUGAGUCACUGAUAAGAUCGUACACCUGUCACCUGAGACUGGCUCAUCAAACCUUUGUACCUUCAACAGCUGAUAAAAACUAGUUUCAUGUUCGUGUUUGCACACGCACGCUUGUCUCCUGCUGGGAUUGAGACAUCCAACUGAAGACAGCCACAUAAGCUCUCACCUGCUGCAGACUGAGGAUCUGAACAUCAGUCGAAUACCUGGACCUGACUGAACUUUGACCCUGAGACCCGGCGGCAGGAGGACGGAUCUAUAGACGGCUUUGUUCUACAUCAUAAAGGCGGUUUCACCAGUUCUGUUACUUUGGGUUUAUAAGUAGCUGGAACUGUACCUGCUCCCUGUAAUAAAUACAUUUAGAAUGAUGUUGUAAACCAUCAUUCAUGACUUUGAUUUGACAUCAUAAUCCUGACUGAGCAUCUGUGUCAUCUCAUUUUGUUGUUUUUUGUGUCAGCUUUACUUUAUUUGGCUUUGACAACCCAAAGUGUCCCUGUUUGACCCGAGGAAAGAAAAGAUUGAACUGCGCAGACAGAGGAAGACAGGUAAGGUGACAGGUGUAAGCAAGAGUCAGGUGAGUCUGAACCAACCAACUCAGCACGGCUUCCUUCCAACCAGACUCCAUACAAUAAUCUAUGGCUUUUGCUCGGCUCUAGUGGCUAGCUCAUUACCUCGUCACACCAACAGAAGACGCGUUCCCCUCCAGCAGCCAGAGCUCCGCUUAAACCUGCUUGUUUUGGGUCUUCCUAAACACGUUUCUGCCACAGAGGGCGGCGCCGAGCACACAGCGCCACUUCUGAAACAAAACAUCUCUCUGUCAUGGCAUCAACUCAACAUCAUGAAGAUUUAUUUGGGAGCCGAAUUCCCUUAUGGAUCCUAAACAUCUCAUCUAGCUUCUGAACCGGGCCAAAUCCGAACCUGGGUUCAAGGGAAGGCUGAAUUCUUCCAAAUGUUUUAUAUGUGAACGGAGUUUUGUUCGCCUCCUUUUAUCAAAUCAGAGGCACGUUCUGGUACCAAGUGACCGGACGGUGUCGGUCCAGUUCACGGCAGCACGAGCUAGCAGCCUCCGGCCGUACUUGCCUCUCUGUCCGCGGUGUCCGGGAGGGGCCGCUGGCUGAUUUACUUUACUCCACAAAUCCCAUCGAUCCGCCGGCGAUCCCCGGGCGGAGUCUGCAGGCAGAAUCACGGUAUCCUGACGGUCCUCUCAUUCAGGCGGCCGAAUGGACCUCCGGUUCCGCCGCCCUCAGCUUCCGUUAUCAGUGUAAACAACGCGGUUCGUCGAGCGAAGCUCAGCGGACUCCUCUCCCGGUGUGAGGCGAGGACCGCGGCUCAACGUCAGCCGCUGCUGACAUGCGCAGUCAGUCCACACCAAGGCACGCGCGCGCACGGCUAACCACGCAUCAUUCAAAAGCAUCAUUUCAUUUUAGGAAAACACGCCUUUAUUUUGCAGGUUUUUGUUUAUACGUGUGUUUAUUUUGGCUUCAUAAAUACAAAUAAAUCAAAAAGGUUAUUUUCAUGUUUGGUAGUUUAGGUGUUUUGUUUCUUCAUUACUGAUAAUUAUCGUUGUUGCAACUCACCUGAGCAUCAACUGAGAGUUUAGUCCUAAAAAUGAGAAAAACAGGGGAAAACACAUUUAGUAGGUUAAAUGAAAAUGGACAUUUCCCCGAAAACAAAUAACUUUAAAUCAAAAAUUAGAAUAUUAAAUCGGGUCUCCCUAAAACAGGUUAAAUGAAAUGUUAUAGUUCAGGAAACCAGAUGGACCUCUUAAGGAAAGGCAGGAGGCCCAUUCUCUAAAAACAUUCUCUUAUGUUGUCUGGAUGCAGAAUAUUUCACAUACUUUGAGAUUUUUAGAACAUAUAGUAAGUUCUGGGAAAAUGCUGGUGAAGGUCAGGUGAAAAUAAAAAAUGAGAAUAUGGUGCAAAAAGUUUAUUUAUGUCAAAUUAAAAGCUUUAUCUGGUAUAACUGUGAUGAUUAUGGCUUACAGCUUACGGAAACCCCAAAGUCAAAAUCUCAGGCAGUCAGAAUAUUGUGAAAUGGUCAAUAAUCUAGACUCAAAGUGUCAUAAUCAAUCAGCUAAUGAAUCCAGAACACAUGCAGAGGGUUCCUGAGCAUAUAAAUCAGUGGGGCUCAGUCCUGGUCCUGGAGGGCUGGUAUCCGGCAUGUUUUAGUGGUUUCUCUGCUCCAACACGCUUGUUUCAGCUGAACCACCUGUACAGGAUCCUGUUGAUUUAAACCAGGUGUGUUGAAACAGAGUUAAAACUAAAACGUAUUUACUGAAAUAAAUGGACUUUGCCUUUGACUUUGGACCUUAUUCAAACUGUUCUAGUUUCGCCGUCAUCUGCUUUAUGGUAAACAUCGGAACCGUAUAUUUGUUCUUUUAAUUUUCCUUGAUUUUGUUAUUUAUAUUUUAGUUCAAUACUGUCUUUUGAUUUGAUAAUACCGUACUUCUGUUAUAAUACCAUAUUUCUCUGAGCUGCAUGUUUGUGUAAAUCAUGAUUUUUAUAAAGGAUUAAAAUCUAGAAUAUUCGAAUAAAAACAAUAGGUGCGGGAUAAAUGGCAGCCAAAACCACAGCAUGAAACCAUCUUCAGUUUUGUCCAAAACCUGUUUAAUACAGAAAGGAUUUCUUUUCUUCAUGAAUUUUAAUACAGAUAUGCAAAUUAAUAAGACUUGUAAGUGCAAAACAAUUCAAUAAAAAUACGUGUAAAUGCUUUUGUUGUUUUAAUCUGUGUUAAUAAAUUAUAAUUCUUUAAAAGUAGAAAAUAAAUACCAGAAGAAAUAACUUUUCUGUUUUAGAAGUGGGACCGACCGGAAACAGGUAAAACUGCGACACCUGGUGGAUACAAGUCUUCAUGACCGCUGGGUUCUGUUGAUGUGAGCGAAUGAUGAAACCAUGAAUGUGGUUCUGGAUUUUUGGGUUCCAACAGUAAAACAGAACCGAUGAGUCCGAUAAGAUUCCUCUGGAACGGAGGAAAGAGCUCAGCCAUCACCUGAACCAGAACCAGCUCUCGUCAGCAGCUCUUCAUCAUGAUCCAAACAAUUCAGAGGUCAAAAAAGUUGGGCCAGAAAAGCUAGACCAGAAUCAGACAUCUGAACAGGCUCACAAACCC
Nothobranchius furzeri (turquoise killifish) is the source of this 3433-nucleotide non-coding RNA. Lineage: Eukaryota; Metazoa; Chordata; Actinopteri; Cyprinodontiformes; Nothobranchiidae. The record is from RefSeq and is a predicted model, not a curated record.